CGAAUGCUGACAUAAGUAACGAUAAAGCGGGUGAAAAGCCCGCUCGCCGGAAGACCAAGGGUUCCUGUCCAACGUUAAUCGGGGCAGGGUGAGUCGACCCCUAAGGCGAGGCCGAAAGGCGUAGUCGAUGGGAAACAGGUUAAUAUUCCUGUACUUGGUGUUACUGCGAAGGGGGGACGGAGAAGGCUAUGUUGGCCGGGCGACGGUUGUCCCGGUUUAAGCGUGUAGGCUGGUUUUCCAGGCAAAUCCGGAAAAUCAAGGCUGAGGCGUGAUGACGAGGCACUACGGUGCUGAAGCAACAAAUGCCCUGCUUCCAGGAAAAGCCUCUAAGCAUCAGGUAACAUCAAAUCGUACCCCAAACCGACACAGGUGGUCAGGUAGAGAAUACCAAGGCGCUUGAGAGAACUCGGGUGAAGGAACUAGGCAAAAUGGUGCCGUAACUUCGGGAGAAGGCACGCUGAUAUGUAGGUGAAGCGACUUGCUCGUGGAGCUGAAAUCAGUCGAAGAUACCAGCUGGCUGCAACUGUUUAUUAAAAACACAGCACUGUGCAAACACGAAAGUGGACGUAUACGGUGUGACGCCUGCCCGGUGCCGGAAGGUUAAUUGAUGGGGUCAGCGCAAGCGAAGCUCUUGAUC
Molecule: ribosomal RNA, 637 nt
Filed under: Escherichia coli
Lineage: Bacteria; Pseudomonadati; Pseudomonadota; Gammaproteobacteria; Enterobacterales; Enterobacteriaceae
Description: partial 23S ribosomal RNA
Rfam family: Bacterial large subunit ribosomal RNA
Source: RNAcentral